Molecule: transfer RNA, 96 nt
Filed under: Trichoderma virens Gv29-8
Lineage: Eukaryota; Fungi; Ascomycota; Sordariomycetes; Hypocreales; Hypocreaceae
Also listed under: 12 other names
Description: tRNA-Arg for anticodon CCU
Rfam family: tRNA
About the family: Transfer RNA (tRNA) molecules are approximately 80 nucleotides in length. Their secondary structure includes four short double-helical elements and three loops (D, anti-codon, and T loops). Further hydrogen bonds mediate the characteristic L-shaped molecular structure. tRNAs have two regions of fundamental functional importance: the anti-codon, which is responsible for specific mRNA codon recognition, and the 3' end, to which the tRNAs corresponding amino acid is attached (by aminoacyl-tRNA synthetases). tRNAs cope with the degeneracy of the genetic code in two manners: having more than one tRNA (with a specific anti-codon) for a particular amino acid; and 'wobble' base-pairing, i.e. permitting non-standard base-pairing at the 3rd anti-codon position.
Source: RNAcentral
GGUGUGCUGGCGCAAUGGUAGCGCGUAGUCCUCCUAUUGCUACCCGCAACAGGGAGAUCCAGACUAAGGCUCAGGGUUCGAGUCCCUGGUACAUCG